RNAcentral lists this ribosomal RNA (504 nucleotides) under uncultured bacterium. Its description in RNAcentral is "partial 16S ribosomal RNA". It matches the Rfam family "Bacterial small subunit ribosomal RNA", at positions 30 to 523 of the family's 1533-position model. The record is from RNAcentral.
AUUGAACGCUGGCGGCAUGCCUUACACAUGCAAGUCGAACGGCAGCAUGGAGAGCUUGCUCUCUGAUGGCGAGUGGCGAACGGGUGAGUAAUGCAUCGGAACGUACCGUGUAAUGGGGGAUAACGUAGCGAAAGUUACGCUAAUACCGCAUACGACCUGAGGGUGAAAGCAGGGGAUCGCAAGACCUUGCGUUAUACGAGCGGCCGAUGUCAGAUUAGCUAGUUGGUGAGGCAAAGGCUCACCAAGGCGACGAUCUGUAGCGGGUCUGAGAGGAUGAUCCGCCACACUGGGACUGAGACACGGCCCAGACUCCUACGGGAGGCAGCAGUGGGGAAUUUUGGACAAUGGGGGCAACCCUGAUCCAGCCAUGCCGCGUGAGUGUAGAAGGCCUUCGGGUUGUAAAGCUCUUUCGGCCGGGAAGAAAUCGCACAGGCUAAUACUCUGUGUGGAUGACGGUACCGGCAUAAGAAGCACCGGCUAACUACGUGCCAACAGCCGCCGCGG